RNAcentral lists this long non-coding RNA (100 nucleotides) under Macaca mulatta (Rhesus monkey). Its description in RNAcentral is "lncRNA (ENSMMUG00000060688.1)". The record is from RNAcentral. Lineage: Eukaryota; Metazoa; Chordata; Mammalia; Primates; Cercopithecidae.
AUGUGGUUUCCAACCCACAGAAUUUCAGAGAUCCUCCAUGAAGUCUCAAAAAUUAUUCUCAUGGCUGUACCAAGUGGAUGUUCCAUGAACUCUAAGCUCA